RNAcentral lists this ribosomal RNA (92 nucleotides) under Cercocebus atys (sooty mangabey). The record is from RNAcentral. Lineage: Eukaryota; Metazoa; Chordata; Mammalia; Primates; Cercopithecidae.
GUCUACGGCCAUACCACCCUUAACAUGACCGAUCUUGUCUGAUCUUGGAAGCUAAGCAGGGUUGGGUCUGGUUAGUACCUGAAUGGGAGACA